RNAcentral lists this transfer RNA (68 nucleotides) under Nassarius glans. Its description in RNAcentral is "tRNA-Thr". It matches the Rfam family "tRNA". From Rfam's summary of the family: Transfer RNA (tRNA) molecules are approximately 80 nucleotides in length. Their secondary structure includes four short double-helical elements and three loops (D, anti-codon, and T loops). Lineage: Eukaryota; Metazoa; Mollusca; Gastropoda; Neogastropoda; Nassariidae. The record is from RNAcentral.
GCAACAAUAGCUUAAUAAAGAGCAUUGGUCUUGUAAGUCAAAGGUGAAUAAAUAAAUUUCUUGUUGCU